This 68-nucleotide transfer RNA is filed under the name Marmota monax (woodchuck). Its description in RNAcentral is "tRNA.Ala". Lineage: Eukaryota; Metazoa; Chordata; Mammalia; Rodentia; Sciuridae. The record is from RNAcentral.
GGAUUGUAGCUCAGUGGUAGAGCACUCACCUGGCAUGUGCAGGACCCUGCGUUCGAUCCUCAGCACCA